RNAcentral lists this ribosomal RNA (1056 nucleotides) under Apilactobacillus kunkeei. RNAcentral's name for it is "bacterial SSU rRNA". It matches the Rfam family "Bacterial small subunit ribosomal RNA", at positions 342 to 1390 of the family's 1533-position model. Lineage: Bacteria; Bacillati; Bacillota; Bacilli; Lactobacillales; Lactobacillaceae. The record is from RNAcentral.
CGGGAGGCAGCAGUAGGGAAUCUUCCACAAUGGACGAAAGUCUGAUGGAGCAACGCCGCGUGAGUGAUGAAGGUUUUCGGAUCGUAAAACUCUGUUGUUAAAGAAGAACAAGUGUUAGAGUAACUGUUAACACUUUGACGGUAUUUAACCAGAAAGCCACGGCUAACUACGUGCCAGCAGCCGCGGUAAUACGUAGGUGGCAAGCGUUGUCCGGAUUUAUUGGGCGUAAAGCGAGCGCAGGCGGUUUUGUAAGUCUGCUGUGAAAGCCCUCAGCUCAACUGAGGAAGUGCAGUGGAAACUACAAAACUUGAGUACAGAAGAGGAAAGUGGAACUCCAUGUGUAGCGGUGAAAUGCGUAGAUAUAUGGAAGAACACCAGUGGCGAAGGCGGCUUUCUGGUCUGUUACUGACGCUGAGGCUCGAAAGCAUGGGUAGCGAACAGGAUUAGAUACCCUGGUAGUCCAUGCCGUAAAACGAUGAAUACUAGGUGUUGGAGGGUUUCCGCCCUUCAGUGCCGCAGCUAACGCAUUAAGUAUUCCGCCUGGGGAGUACGACCGCAAGGUUGAAACUCAAAGGAAUUGACGGGGGCCCGCACAAGUGGUGGAGCAUGUGGUUUAAUUCGAUGCUACGCGAAGAACCUUACCAGCUCUUGACAUCUUCUGCCAACCCAAGAGAUUGGGCGUUCCCUUCGGGGACAGAAUGACAGGUGGUGCAUGGUUGUCGUCAGCUCGUGUCGUGAGAUGUUGGGUUAAGUCCCGCAACGAGCGCAACCCUUAUUAUUAGUUGCCAGCAUUUAGUUGGGCACUCUAGUGAGACUGCCGGUGAUAAACCGGAGGAAGGUGGGGACGACGUCAAAUCAUCAUGCCCCUUAUGAGCUGGGCUACACACGUGCUACAAUGGAUGGUACAACGAGUCGCGAAACCGCGAGGUCAAGCUAAUCUCUUAAAGCCAUUCUCAGUUCGGAUUGCAGGCUGCAACUCGCCUGCAUGAAGUUGGAAUCACUAGUAAUCGUGGAUCAGCAUGCCACGGUGAAUACGUUCCCGGGCCUUGUACACAC